This 344-nucleotide unclassified non-coding RNA is filed under the name soil metagenome. RNAcentral's name for it is "partial contains 5.8S ribosomal RNA, internal transcribed spacer 2, and large subunit ribosomal RNA". The stretch from base 1 to 121 matches the Rfam family "5.8S ribosomal RNA", at positions 35 to 154 of the family's 154-position model. The record is from RNAcentral.
GAUGAAGAACGCAGCGAAAUGCGAUAAGUAAUGCGAAUUGCAGAAUUUCCGUGAGUCAUCGAAUCUUUGAACGCACAUUGCGCCCCUUGGUAUUCCGAGGGGCAUGCCUGUUCGAGCGUCAUUACACCACUCAAGCACUGCUUGGUAUUGGGCAUCGUCCGUCGAAAGGCGGGCGUGCCUCGAAGACCUCGGCGGGGUUUCUCCAACUUCGGGCGUAGUAGAGUUAAAUCGAACGUCUUAUAAGCUUGGUGGGACUCCAUUGCCGUUAAACCUUUUAUUUUCUAGGUUGACCUCGGAUCAGGUAGGGAUACCCGCUGAACUUAAGCAUAUCAAUAAGCGGAGGA